UGUGUGUUAGUGGAAGCGUCUGGAAAGGCGCGCGAUACAGGGUGACAGCCCCGUACACAAAAAUGCACAUGCUGUGAGCUCGAUGAGUAGGGCGGGACACGUGGUAUCCUGUCUGAAUAUGGGGGGACCAUCCUCCAAGGCUAAAUACUCCUGACUGACCGAUAGUGAACCAGUACCGUGAGGGAAAGGCGAAAAGAACCCCGGCGAGGGGAGUGAAAAAGAACCUGAAACCGUGUACGUACAAGCAGUGGGAGCACGCUUAGGCGUGUGACUGCGUACCUUUUGUAUAAUGGGUCAGCGACUUAUAUUCUGUAGCAAGGUUAACCGAAUAGGGGAGCCGAAGGGAAACCGAGUCUUAACUGGGCGUUAAGUUGCAGGGUAUAGACCCGAAACCCGGUGAUCUAGCCAUGGGCAGGUUGAAGGUUGGGUAACACUAACUGGAGGACCGAACCGACUAAUGUUGAAAAAUUAGCGGAUGACUUGUGGCUGGGGGUGAAAGGCCAAUCAAACCGGGAGAUAGCUGGUUCUCCCCGAAAGCUAUUUAGGUAGCGCCUCGUGAAUUCAUCUCCGGGGGUAGAGCACUGUUUCGGCAAGGGGGUCAUCCCGACUUACCAACCCGAUGCAAACUGCGAAUACCGGAGAAUGUUAUCACGGGAGACACACGGCGGGUGCUAACGUCCGUCGUGAAGAGGGAAACAACCCAGACCGCCAGCUAAGGUCCCAAAGUCAUGGUUAAGUGGGAAACGAUGUGGGAAGGCCCAGACAGCCAGGAUGUUGGCUUAGAAGCAGCCAUCAUUUAAAGAAAGCGUAAUAGCUCACUGGUCGAGUCGGCCUGCGCGGAAGAUGUAACGGGGCUAAACCAUGCACCGAAGCUGCGGCAGCGACGCUGAUGCGUUGUUGGGUAGGGGAGCGUUCUGUAAGCCUGCGAAGGUGUGCUGUGAGGCAUGCUGGAGGUAUCAGAAGUGCGAAUGCUGACAUAAGUAACGAUAAAGCGGGUGAAAAGCCCGCUCGCCGGAAGACCAAGGGUUCCUGUCCAACGUUAAUCGGGGCAGGGUGAGUCGACCCCUAAGGCGAGGCCGAAAGGCGUAGUCGAUGGGAAACAGGUUAAUAUUCCUGUACUUGGUGUUACUGCGAAGGGGGGACGGAGAAGGCUAUGUUGGCCGGGCGACGGUUGUCCCGGUUUAAGCGUGUAGGCUGGUUUUCCAGGCAAAUCCGGAAAAUCAAGGCUGAGGCGUGAUGACGAGGCACUACGGUGCUGAAGCAACAAAUGCCCUGCUUCCAGGAAAAGCCUCUAAGCAUCAGGUAACAUCAAAUCGUACCCCAAACCGACACAGGUGGUCAGGUAGAGAAUACCAAGGCGCUUGAGAGAACUCGGGUGAAGGAACUAGGCAAAAUGGUGCCGUAACUUCGGGAGAAGGCACGCUGAUAUGUAGGUGAAGUCCCUUGCGGAUGGAGCUGAAAUCAGUCGAAGAUACCAGCUGGCUGCAACUGUUUAUUAAAAACACAGCACUGUGCAAACACGAAAGUGGACGUAUACGGUGUGACGCCUGCCCGGUGCCGGAAGGUUAAUUGAUGGGGUCAGCGCAAGCGAAGCUCUUGAUCGAAGCCCCGGUAAACGGCGGCCGUAACUAUAACGGUCCUAAGGUAGCGAAAUUCCUUGUCGGGUAAGUUCCGACCUGCACGAAUGGCGUAAUGAUGGCCAGGCUGUCUCCACCCGAGACUCAGUGAAAUUGAACUCGCUGUGAAGAUGCAGUGUACCCGCGGCAAGACGGAAAGACCCCGUGAACCUUUACUAUAGCUUGACACUGAACAUUGAGCCUUGAUGUGUAGGAUAGGUGGGAGGCUUGGAAGUGUGGACGCCAGUCUGCAUGGAGCCGACCUUGAAAUACCACCCUUUAAUGUUUGAUGUUCUAACGUUGACCCGUAAUCCGGGUUGCGGACAGUGUCUGGUGGGUAGUUUGACUGGGGCGGUCUCCUCCUAAAGAGUAACGGAGGAGCACGAAGGUUGGCUAAUCCUGGUCGGACAUCAGGAGGUUAGUGCAAUGGCAUAAGCCAGCUUGACUGCGAGCGUGACGGCGCGAGCAGGUGCGAAAGCAGGUCAUAGUGAUCCGGUGGUUCUGAAUGGAAGGGCCAUCGCUCAACGGAUAAAAGGUACUCCGGGGAUAACAGGCUGAUACCGCCCAAGAGUUCAUAUCGACGGCGGUGUUUGGCACCUCGAUGUCGGCUCAUCACAUCCUGGGGCUGAAGUAGGUCCCAAGGGUAUGGCUGUUCGCCAUUUAAAGUGGUACGCGAGCUGGGUUUAGAACGUCGUGAGACAGUUCGGUCCCUAUCUGCCGUGGGCGCUGGAGAACUGAGGGGGGCUGCUCCUAGUACGAGAGGACCGGAGUGGACGCAUCACUGGUGUUCGGGUUGUCAUGCCAAUGGCACUGCCCGGUAGCUAAAUGCGGAAGAGAUAAGUGCUGAAAGCAUCUAAGCACGAAACUUGCCCCGAGAUGAGUUCUCCCUGACCCUUUAAGGGUCCUGAAGGAACGUUGAAGACGACGACGUUGAUAGGCCGGGUGUGUAAGCGCAGCGAUGCGUUGAGCUAACCGGUACUAAUGAA
Molecule: ribosomal RNA, 2602 nt
Filed under: Escherichia coli
Lineage: Bacteria; Pseudomonadati; Pseudomonadota; Gammaproteobacteria; Enterobacterales; Enterobacteriaceae
Description: partial 23S ribosomal RNA
Rfam family: Bacterial large subunit ribosomal RNA
Source: RNAcentral